AUUGAACGCUGGCGGCAGGCCUAACACAUGCAAGUCGAGCGGUAGCACAGAGAGCUUGCUCUCGGGUGACGAGCGGCGGACGGGUGAGUAAUGUCUGGGAAACUGCCUGAUGGAGGGGGAUAACUACUGGAAACGGUAGCUAAUACCGCAUAAUGUCGCAAGACCAAAGUGGGGGACCUCCGGGCCUCAUGCCAUCAGAUGUGCCCAGAUGGGAUUAGCUAGUAGGUGGGGUAACGGCUCACCUAGGCGACGAUCCCUAGCUGGGCUGAGAGGAUGACCAGCCACACUGGAACUGGGACACGGUCCAGACUCCUACGGGAGGCAGCAGUGGGGAAUAUUCAACAAUGGGCGCAAGCCUGAUGCAGCCAUGCCGCGUGUGUGAAGAAGGCCUUCGGGUUGUAAAGCACUUUCAGCGGGGAGGAAGGCGUUAAGGUUAAUAACCUUGGCGAUUGACGUUACCCGCAGAAGAAGCACCGGCUAACUCCGUGCCAGCCGCCGCAGUAA
This 504-nucleotide ribosomal RNA is filed under the name uncultured bacterium. Its description in RNAcentral is "partial 16S ribosomal RNA". It matches the Rfam family "Bacterial small subunit ribosomal RNA", at positions 29 to 523 of the family's 1533-position model. The record is from RNAcentral.